AAGUCGUAACAAGGUUUCCGUAGGUGAACCUGCGGAAGGAUCAUUAACAAGGGUUAUUUUACCCGCGAUCAUCCACCGUGUGCACUUUUAUCGAACUUUUGCUUUUGGCAGACUUGGUUCCCUUUUUUUUUUAGGGGUCAACUUGCCAAAGGUUUUUUUUCAACCAUAGCCUGAUUGUUUGACUGAACAAAUUUUUGAAAUAAAAUCAAAUACAACUUUCAACAACGGAUCUCUUGGCUCUC
Molecule: unclassified non-coding RNA, 242 nt
Filed under: fungal sp.
Lineage: Eukaryota; Fungi
Description: partial internal transcribed spacer region
Rfam family: Eukaryotic small subunit ribosomal RNA (bases 1-46)
Source: RNAcentral